Molecule: long non-coding RNA, 2419 nt
Filed under: Homo sapiens (human)
Lineage: Eukaryota; Metazoa; Chordata; Mammalia; Primates; Hominidae
Description: HSALNT0096633
Source: RNAcentral
GGGUGGUCAGGGAAGGACCCUCAGAGAUGAACUUUAAGCUCGUUUCUGAAAUGAGUCAGCCAAGUAAAGAGCCAGAAGGAGCAUUCCAGGAUGAGGGAGCCCCUUGUAAAGAUCUUGCUGAGUACCUGAAACUGAAAACGUGGCUGGAUUAAGGGAGCGGCCCAAGAUAAGGUCUGAAAGGUAGGCUGGGGCUAGGUCCAAUAAGACCUUUCCAGCCAUAAUCAGGAGUCUGGAUUUUAUUCUAAGACCUGUAGGAAACCUUAGAUUUCCUUGAAGGGCAGAGAUGUGAUCCUUAUUUGUUUUGGGUUUCUUUUACCCGCUGAAAACAACUACGUUAUCUCAUCAUUUCUGUGUUGUGGGUCAGGAAUCCAGGUGUGGCUUACUGGGUACCUCUGGAUCAAGGUCUUUCAAGGUGUCUUCUGGGGAUGCAGUUUCAAAAAUUUGAAACUUAAAAUUUUCCUUUCUUUUCUUUUCUUUUUUUUUUUUUUUUUUUUUUUUUGAGACAGGGUCUUGCUCUGUUGGCCAGGCUGGAAUGCAGUAGUAAGAUCAUAUCUGAUUGCAACUUUGAACUCCUGGGCUCAAGGGAUCUACCCAUCUCAGCUUCUGAGUAGCUAGAACUAUAGGUGCACACUACCACAGCUGGAUAAUUUUUUUUAAUGUUUUUGGGCUGGAUGCAGUGGCUCACGCCUGUAAUCCUAGCACUUUGGGAGGCAAGGCAGGUGGAUUUCUUGAGCUUGGGAGUUCGAGACCAGCCUGGGCAACAUGGUAAAACCUCAUCUCUACUAAAAAUACAAAAACUAGCCAGGUAUGCUGGCACAUGCCCGUGGUCCUAGCUACUUGGAGGCUGAGGCAGGAGAGUUGCUUGAACUCGGGAGGUAGAGGUUGCAGUGAGCCAUGAUCACACCACUGCACUCCAGCCUGGGUGAAUCUCAAUAUGUUGCCCAGGCUAGUCUCAAACUCCUGGCCUCAAGUGACUCUCCUGUCUUGGCCUCCCGAAGUGUUAGGAUUAUAGGCAUGAGCCAUUGUGCUCAGACAUUGAUUUGGGUUUUAAUAUUGGAUUCGAAGGAGGAAUAAAGAAAUGAGAAGAUAAAUUAAGUAGAAAUAAUGGUGUCUUGGAGUAAGGAAUGGCCAAAAGAGAUGCAGAAUAAUGAAAACACUUUAGAUGUAUGUUGGAGGAAGACUGCAGGAAUCUUCUGUUGUUGUUUUUCUCUGAGACAGGGUCUCCCUGUGCUGUGUCACCCAGGCUAGAAUGCAGCAGCAAGAUCAUAGUUCAUAGCCUCAAACUCCUGGGCUCAAGUGAUCUUCCUGCUUCAUUCUCCUGAGUAGCUGGGACGAUAGGCGUGCACCACCAUACCCAGCCCUAAGGAAUCUCAACAUCUAAGGAUCAGGCAGAAGAAGAUCUGAAAAGCAAUGGAUCAAAGAGAAGAAUGUCAUUUCAGAAGCCAAGAGAAGGAGGACUUUCUAGAAUGAGUGAUCAAUUUAAAAGGUUGACUAUAAUAAAGAUAAAGGUAUCAGGCUGGGAACGGUGGCUCACGCCUAUAAUCCCAGCACUUUGGGAGGCCAAGGCGGGCAGAUCAUCUGAGGUCAAGAGUUUGAGACCAGCCUGGCCAACAUGGUGAAACCCCCGUCUCUACUAAAAAUACAAAAUUAGCCAGGCAUGGCGGCACAUGCAUGAAAUCCCAGCUACUCAGGAGGCUGAGGGGGGAGAAUCACUUGAACCCGGGGAGGCAGAGGUUGCAGUGAGCCAAGAUUGCACCAUUGCACUCCAGCCUAAGCAACAAGAGUGAAACUCUGUCUCAAAAAAAAAAAAAAAGAUAAAGGUAUCUGUUAAUAUUUAAUUUAGAAAACUGAAGGUCAGUGGUGAGCUUGACCAUUUCCGUUGUGCUUUGGAGCAGAAACUAGAUGAUGGUGGGUCAAGGAGUGUAGAUGGGUGAAAAGUAGAGACAACUCCUUUGAAAAAUAUGGCUGUGAGAACGAGUUGAGAAAUGGGACUAGCUGGAGAGGAAUGCAUGGACUAGAACAUAUAUUCUGCUAAUGAAAAUAGCAUAAACAGAAAAGGAGAGAGAUGACUCAGAAGAAAGGGAUAAAAAGAAGGAUGAAGUCUUGGCCUAGGCAAUGGAGAUUAAAAAGCCCUUUCAUAUUUCAUCAGUUAGGAGAGGGGCAAAGAAGUUUUGAGCAGCAGUGAGGUAUGGAUGGUCAUCUCAGAGAGUACACUAGAAAGAUGGAAGAUUGUGGGGCAUUAUUGAGUGUCAGUUUGUUUUUGUGAGGUCAUGACUUAAAAAGCUGUCACCUUGAUUUUAAUAUUUUCUCCAGCAACUUCCAGGGAAAAGAUUGGAAAUGAAACAGGCCUUUCUUAUCUGUACUUCUCAGUAGCCAUGUUUUUUUGGAGUGGCAUAUAUGUGUGUGUACAAAGCAUCAG